GACGGAGGGGGCUAGCGUUGUUCGGAAUUACUGGGCGUAAAGAGCGCGUAGGCGGAUUAGUAAGUUGGGAGUGAAAGCCCAGGGCUUAACCCUGGAAUAGCUUUCAAAACUACUAGUCUUGAGUGUAGUAGGGGAUGAUGGAAUUCCUAGUGUAGAGGUGAAAUUCUUAGAUAUUAGGAGGAACACCGGUGGCGAAGGCGGUCAUCUGGGCUACAACUGACGCUGAGGCGCGAAAGCGUGGGGAGCAAACAGG
This 253-nucleotide ribosomal RNA is filed under the name uncultured bacterium. RNAcentral describes it as "partial 16S ribosomal RNA". It matches the Rfam family "Bacterial small subunit ribosomal RNA", at positions 524 to 776 of the family's 1533-position model. The record is from RNAcentral.